Molecule: transfer RNA, 71 nt
Filed under: Anomaloglossus roraima
Lineage: Eukaryota; Metazoa; Chordata; Amphibia; Anura; Aromobatidae
Description: tRNA-Ser
Rfam family: tRNA
About the family: Transfer RNA (tRNA) molecules are approximately 80 nucleotides in length. Their secondary structure includes four short double-helical elements and three loops (D, anti-codon, and T loops).
Source: RNAcentral
AAGAAAAUGACAGAAUGGUAAUGUGCCUGGCUUGAAACCAGAUAAUGGGGGUUCGAUUCCCUCUUUUCUCG